GACGAACGCUGGCGGCGUGCCUAAUACAUGCAAGUCGAGCGGACUUUCAAGAAGCUUGCUUUUUGAAAGUUAGCGGCGGACGGGUGAGUAACACGUGGGCAACCUGCCUGCAAGACGGGGAUAACUCCGGGAAACCGGGGCUAAUACCGGAUAAUAUCUUCCUUCGCAUGAAGGAAGGUUGAAAGGCGGCGCAAGCUGCCGCUUGCAGAUGGGCCCGCGGCGCAUUAGCUAGUUGGUGAGGUAACGGCUCACCAAGGCGACGAUGCGUAGCCGACCUGAGAGGGUGAUCGGCCACACUGGGACUGAGACACGGCCCAGACUGCUACGGGAGGCAGCAGUAGGGAAUCUUCCGCAAUGGACGAAAGUCUGACGGAGCAACGCCGCGUGAGCGAAGAAGGUCUUCGGAUCGUAAAGCUCUGUUGUCAGGGAAGAACAAGUACCGUUCGAACAGGGCGGUACCUUGACGGUACCUGACCAGAAAGCCACGGCUAACUACGUG
This 499-nucleotide ribosomal RNA is filed under the name uncultured bacterium. RNAcentral's name for it is "partial 16S ribosomal RNA". It matches the Rfam family "Bacterial small subunit ribosomal RNA", at positions 28 to 507 of the family's 1533-position model. The record is from RNAcentral.